UCCUCCUGCAUUAGCACAUUUUCAACUUAGGCUGCGUUUGGGAACUUGGAUUUGGACCCUGGAUUUAAAACUCAGGGUAUUUCAAAUCCAAAUCUCUAGUUUGGACUUCAAAUUGGGCUGAGAUUUCAAAUCCAAUUAUUUUAAAGAGGAGAUUUUGAAAGCCCAAAUACAAGUAUUUGAAAUCCCACCCUGCCCCUUCGAAUUUGACAAAUCCAGAUACUGACUCCUCCUCUCUCGUUUCGCGAUCCCGACUCCUCCUCUCUCUCGUUUCGCGAUCAACGCUGGUAACUCUCCUCUCUCCCCUUCUCCUCUCUCGUCGAAACCCUAGAUCUGAUCUAGGGUUUCGGUCUCCCCCUUUCUCCUCUCUCUGCCCCUUCCAUCUAAACCCUAGAUCUGUGGCUCUCAAUCCUCUUCAUCUCCCCCAAAAUUGAAGGAUCGCUGGAGAAAGAUCAACGCCGAUGGAGUGUCGACGAAGCAGAACAUGAAGACGGUAGCUGAUUUCGUUGCUGACAAGAGCAAAAUCCACAGGUUAUUUUGUGCUUAUAUGCAGAGCAGCAACUAGAGACAAAAUAAGGAACUUACUAGACCAAGUGAUUUGUAGAUGUGAAGUGUUAAUAGUUUUGCAAAGCAUCUUGCAAUUGUAAGUAAGAGAAACACGACCUUAUUGCUAUUUAGUAGUUUAGUAUUUUCAUAGCUACUCUCCUUUAUAGAUGUAUUUUGCAUAGACUCUGCUAUUAGCUAAAAAUAUUCUAAGAGGUAAUAUGUGCAUAUUUAAUGUGGUCAAGAUUUUGUUGCUUCAUUCCUUUUUAAAGCAAAGGUAGAUAAGGUAAAGGAAAAAAUCUUUCAGACACACCAAGUUAUUUCUUCAAAAACCCAAUUCUAAAAUGAACACAAAAUUAAAAAUUUCAUACCCUCAUCUCCUGAGUCACUCAAGCAGAGGUACAGUACAAGUCCAAUGGCCAUGGCAGCGACAACAAACUUGAUUUCUUUGUGUAACAUCAAAGAAUCCUUACUCUGCAUAUAAGCACAAAAUAACUGAAGAAAUCUUGCAAGUUAUUAGGAGUUGCCGAGGACUUUGUGUUUACAAUUUUUAUUAGGAGUCAUUUGUUUUGUUUUCUGUUUUGAAUGUCAAAUGGGUUGCCAAGGAGUUAUGAUUGAUGAAGAUAACCCCGAUCGAUGGAAGGAGAUUAUUUCGAUAAUUGGAGGGAAAAGGAGUGAGGAGGAAGUUAAGAAGCAUUAUGAAGCUUUGUUGAGGGAUCUUAAUAUCAUUGAAUCUAGUAUGUUUGAUCCAUAAUUUGGAGAGGCUCAGGACUGCACUCAAGAUAUUACUUUGACUGGUGAUGAGCAAAAGAUCUGCAAUUACUGGACCAAUUGGAAAUGAGUGUGCUGAUUUGUGGCCUACGAUUGCUAGUGCAGCCAAUGCCAUUGUGUAAUAUCCAGAU
Molecule: long non-coding RNA, 1442 nt
Organism: Asparagus officinalis (garden asparagus)
Lineage: Eukaryota; Viridiplantae; Streptophyta; Magnoliopsida; Asparagales; Asparagaceae
Exons: 4
Source: RefSeq, a predicted model, not a curated record